Molecule: ribosomal RNA, 1892 nt
Filed under: Listeria monocytogenes
Lineage: Bacteria; Bacillati; Bacillota; Bacilli; Caryophanales; Listeriaceae
Description: partial 23S ribosomal RNA
Rfam family: Bacterial large subunit ribosomal RNA
Source: RNAcentral
CUGAGUACGGCGGAACACGUGAAAUUCCGUCGGAAUCCGGGAGGACCAUCUCCCAAGGCUAAAUACUCCCUAGUGACCGAUAGUGAACCAGUACCGUGAGGGAAAGGUGAAAAGCACCCCGGAAGGGGAGUGAAACAGUUCCUGAAACCGUGUGCCUACAAGUAGUUAGAGCCCGUUAAUGGGUGAUAGCGUGCCUUUUGUAGAAUGAACCGGCGAGUUACGAUUUGUUGCAAGGUUAAGCGGAAAAAGCGGAGCCGUAGCGAAAGCGAGUCUGAAUAGGGCGCAUAAGUAACAGGUCGUAGACCCGAAACCAGGUGAUCUACCCAUGUCCAGGAUGAAGGUAAGGUAAUACUUACUGGAGGUCCGAACCCACGCACGUUGAAAAGUGCGGGGAUGAGGUGUGGGUAGCGGAGAAAUUCCAAUCGAACUUGGAGAUAGCUGGUUCUCUCCGAAAUAGCUUUAGGGCUAGCCUCGAGGUAAAGAGUCAUGGAGGUAGAGCACUGUUUGGACUAGGGGCCCUUCUCGGGUUACCGAAUUCAGAUAAACUCCGAAUGCCAUGUACUUAUACUCGGGAGUCAGACUGCGAGUGAUAAGAUCCGUAGUCGAAAGGGAAACAGCCCAGACCACCAGUUAAGGUCCCCAAAUAUAUGUUAAGUGGAAAAGGAUGUGGGGUUGCUUAGACAACCAGGAUGUUGGCUUAGAAGCAGCCACCAUUGAAAGAGUGCGUAAUAGCUCACUGGUCGAGUGACCCCGCGCCGAAAAUGUACCGGGGCUAAACAUAUUACCGAAACUGUGGAUGAACCUCUUUAGAGGUUCGUGGUAGGAGAGCGUUCUAAGGGCGGUGAAGUCAGACCGGAAGGACUGGUGGAGCGCUUAGAAGUGAGAAUGCCGGUAUGAGUAGCGAAAGAAGGGUGAGAAUCCCUUCCACCGAAUAUCUAAGGUUUCCUGAGGAAGGCUCGUCCGCUCAGGGUUAGUCGGGACCUAAGCCGAGGCCGAUAGGCGUAGGCGAUGGACAACAGGUAGAGAUUCCUGUACCAGUGCUAAUUGUUUAACCGAUGGGGUGACACAGAAGGAUAGGGAAUCGCACGAAUGGAAAUGUGCGUCCAAGCAGUGAGUGUGAGAAGUAGGCAAAUCCGCUUCUCGCGAAGCAUGAGCUGUGAUGGGGAAGGAAAUUAAGUACGGAAGUUCCUGAUUUCACGCUGUCAAGAAAAGCCUCUAGGAAGAGUAGUACUGCCCGUACCGCAAACCGACACAGGUAGAUGAGGAGAGAAUCCUAAGGUGAGCGAGAGAACUCUCGUUAAGGAACUCGGCAAAAUGACCCCGUAACUUCGGGAGAAGGGGUGCUCUAUUAGGGUGCAAGCCCGAGAGAGCCGCAGUGAAUAGGCCCAGGCGACUGUUUAGCAAAAACACAGGUCUCUGCAAAACCGUAAGGUGACGUAUAGGGGCUGACGCCUGCCCGGUGCUGGAAGGUUAAGAGGAGUGCUUAGCUUCGGCGAAGGUACGAAUUGAAGCCCCAGUAAACGGCGGCCGUAACUAUAACGGUCCUAAGGUAGCGAAAUUCCUUGUCGGGUAAGUUCCGACCCGCACGAAAGGCGCAACGAUCUGGGCACUGUCUCAACGAGAGACUCGGUGAAAUUAUAGUACCUGUGAAGAUGCAGGUUACCCGCGACAGGACGGAAAGACCCCGUGGAGCUUUACUGCAACCUGAUAUGGAAUGUUUGUACCGCUUGUACAGGAUAGGUAGGAGCCGAAGAGACGUGUGCGCUAGCAUACGAGGAGGCAAUGGUGGGAUACUACCCUGGCUGUAUGACCAUUCUAACCCGCCACGCUUAGCGCGUGGGGAGACAGUGUCAGGUGGGCAGUUUGACUGGGGCGGUCGCCUCCUAAAGAGU